Lycium barbarum (goji berry) is the source of this 767-nucleotide long non-coding RNA. RefSeq lists it as uncharacterized. The transcript is spliced from 3 exons. NCBI's taxonomy places the organism in Eukaryota, Viridiplantae, Streptophyta, Magnoliopsida, Solanales, Solanaceae. The record is from RefSeq and is a predicted model, not a curated record.
UUUUGCUUGUGCAACAACGAUAUUUAGCUAUGCAGCAAUAUAUAUGCACAACAAAAAUGUGCCGUACAACAGCCUUUUUUUUUUUAUACAUAUGACGAUACAUAUACAGCAACAAAGGUACAUAUUUCCAUCUUUGGAGGAGCAAUAGAGUGACUUUUAUUUACAUAGCAGCAACACCACUUCAAAUGGAUAUAGCAUCAACGUGAAUGUCAAUUGUAGUAGCAGCUACAUGAGUAGGUAUUUUACGGAAGAAGAAUAUUUCUUGGCACAUAAGGUAGCCCAUCUUGAAUUUAAGAUAUUCAUCAAAUUGAGUGGAGGUAGCAAUGAAAACUAUAUGCAUCAACGUGUUGUGUUUAUUUCCAAGUCGUCGAAGCCGCUUGUUUCUUAGAAGCUUGAGGAAGAGCGGACAAAUUCCAUCUCAUUUACGGUUAACGUGAGAAUUGGACGGACUGGUUCUGUGGUAGCUAUUUAAAAGGAAGUAUAUAAGACUUGCAGGUUCAAGAAAUGAGACAUGGGAUGAGUGAGUAAGCGAUGAGGUGCAGAUACCCGUUUCGGUGAUCCGCCAGCUUAAGACUCCCUUUCUGCUAUCUUGGAGAGCUCCGUUGUUCCAGAGUUCAGCUUUUGGUACAGACCCUUUUUGAUGUAUACAUGUAUAUGUUGCUUAAGGGUACGACGGGGCCCUGUCCCGUCAUAUUUCACUGUUGAAACUCUUAGAGGUCUGUAGACAUGUAUGUGGGUUGUGUUCAGACGUGAUCAGUUGUGCGUAU